UACGAAGGGGGCUAGCGUUGUUCGGAAUCACUGGGCGUAAAGCGCACGUAGGCGGACAUUUAAGUCAGGGGUGAAAUCCCGGGGCUCAACCCUGGAACUGCCUUUGAUACUGAGGACCUUGAGUUCGGGAGAGGUGAGUGGAACUGCGAGUGUAGAGGUGAAAUUCGUAGAUAUUCGCAAGAACACCAGUGGCGAAGGCGGCUCACUGGCCCGAUACUGACGCUGAGGUGCGAAAGCGUGGGAGCAAACAGG
This 252-nucleotide ribosomal RNA is filed under the name uncultured bacterium. RNAcentral's name for it is "partial 16S ribosomal RNA". It matches the Rfam family "Bacterial small subunit ribosomal RNA", at positions 524 to 776 of the family's 1533-position model. The record is from RNAcentral.